This 497-nucleotide ribosomal RNA is filed under the name uncultured bacterium. Its description in RNAcentral is "partial 16S ribosomal RNA". It matches the Rfam family "Bacterial small subunit ribosomal RNA", at positions 28 to 507 of the family's 1533-position model. The record is from RNAcentral.
GACGAACGCUGGCGGCGUGCCUAAUACAUGCAAGUAGAACGCUGAAGAGAGGAGCUUACUCUUCUUGGAUGAGUUGCGAACGGGUGAGUAACGCGUAGGUAACCUGCCUUGUAGCGGGGGAUAACUAUUGGAGACGAUAGCUAAUACCGCAUAACAAUGGAUGACACAUGUCAUUUAUUUAAAAGGGGCAAUUGCUCCACUACAAGAUGGACCUGCGUUGUAUUAGCUAGUAGGUGAGGUAAUGGCUCACCUAGGCGACGAUACAUAGCCGACCUGAGAGGGUGAUCGGCCACACUGGGACUGAGACACGGCCCAGACUCCUACGGGAGGCAGCAGUAGGGAAUCUUCGGCAAUGGGGGCAACCCUGACCGAGCAACGCCGCGUGAGUGAAGAAGGUUUUCGGAUCGUAAAGCUCUGUUGUAAGUCAAGAACGGGUGUGAGAGUGGAAAGUUCACACUGUGACGGUAGCUUACCAGAAAGGGACGGCUAACUACGUG